This 506-nucleotide ribosomal RNA is filed under the name uncultured bacterium. RNAcentral describes it as "partial 16S ribosomal RNA". It matches the Rfam family "Bacterial small subunit ribosomal RNA", at positions 29 to 523 of the family's 1533-position model. The record is from RNAcentral.
AGUGAACGCUGGCGGUAGGCCUAACACAUGCAAGUCGAACGGAAGCACAGAGGAGCUUGCUCCUUGGGUGGCGAGUGGCGGACGGGAGAGGAAUAAAUCGGAAUCUACUCUGUUGUGGGGGACAAAGGAGGGAAACUUACGCCAAUACCGCAUACGACCUACGGGUUAAAGCAGGGGAUCAUCGGAUCUCGCGCGAAUGAAUGAGCAUAUGUCGGAUUAGCUAGUUGGCGGGGUAAAGGCCAACCGAGGCGACGAUCCGUAGCUGGUCUGGGAGCAUGAGCAGCCACACUGGAACUGAGACACGGUCCAGACUCCUACGGUAGGCAGCAGUGGGUAAUAUUGGACAAUGGGCGCAAGCCUGAUCCAGCCAUACCGCGUGGGUGAAGAAGGCCUUCGGGUUGUAAAGCCCUUUUGUUGGGAAAGAAAUCCAUCUGGUUAAUACCCGGGUGGGAUGACGGUACCCAAAGAAUAAGCACCGGCUAACUUCGUGCCAGCCGCCGCCGUAA